AAUGAUCCACAUUCUGUCUUUCUUAUUUUUCUUUUUUACCUUCCCAUAAAGGAGGUUGCUUCGUUUUAAAGAGAAAUCAAGAAGACGCAAAAGCCUCCCGACUAGCGGAGGUUUUUUUGUU
Molecule: regulatory RNA element, 121 nt
Organism: Xenorhabdus szentirmaii DSM 16338
Lineage: Bacteria; Pseudomonadati; Pseudomonadota; Gammaproteobacteria; Enterobacterales; Morganellaceae
Rfam family: Phenylalanine leader peptide
Source: Rfam